UAACGAAUCUUUCGCAAUGGACGAAAGUCUGACGGAGCAAUGCCGCGUGUGGGAUGAAGCGUCUCUGACGUGUAAACCACUGUCAGGGGGUAGAACCAAUGAUCACCCCCAAAGGAAGUGGCGACUAACUCUGUGCCAGCAGUCGCGGUAAUACAGAGGCCACAAGCGUUAGUCGGAAUCACUGGGCUUAAAGGGUGCGUAGGUGGGCUUGUAAGCGUCCUGUGAAAUACCUCAGCUCAACUGAGGAACAGCAGGGCGAACUACAAGUCUUGAGGCAGGUAGGGGCUGGAAGAACAGUAGGUGGAGCGGUGAAAUGCGUAGAGAUCUACUGGAAUGCCGAUGGGGAAGCCAUCCAGCUGGGCCUGUCCUGACACUGAGGCACGAAAGCGUGGGGAGCAAA
Molecule: ribosomal RNA, 400 nt
Filed under: uncultured bacterium
Lineage: Bacteria
Description: bacterial SSU rRNA
Rfam family: Bacterial small subunit ribosomal RNA
Source: RNAcentral